Molecule: ribosomal RNA, 275 nt
Filed under: uncultured Rothia sp.
Lineage: Bacteria; Bacillati; Actinomycetota; Actinomycetes; Micrococcales; Micrococcaceae
Description: partial 16S ribosomal RNA
Rfam family: Bacterial small subunit ribosomal RNA
Source: RNAcentral
CCUACGGGUGGCUGCAGUGGGGAAUAUUGCACAAUGGGCGCAAGCCUGAUGCAGCGACGCCGCGUGAGGGAUGAAUGCCUUCGGGUUGUAAACCUCUUUCAGCAGGGAAGAAGCGAAAGUGACGGUACCUGCAGAAGAAGCGCCGGCUAACUACGUGCCAGCAGCCGCGGUAAUACGUAGGGCGCGAGCGUUGUCCGGAAUUAUUGGGCGUAAAGAGCUUGUAGGCGGUUUGUCGCGUCUGCUGUGAAAGGCCAGGGCUUAACCCUGGUAUUGCA